UCGAGCAUCCGCCGGUCGUCACGCUCGGGCGCCGAACUGCCGAGGGCGAGCUCCACAUCCCGGAAGGCGCGGAGGUGGACGUCGUCGAGACGGAUCGCGGCGGGAAGUCCACCUACCACGCACCGGGCCAGCUCGUCUGUUACCCGAUCCUCGACCUCACCCGCCAUGGCGAGGACGUGAAGCGGUACUGCCGCGACCUCGAAGAGGCGCUGAUCCGGACGAUCGGCGCCGUCGGCGUCGAGGCGACACGGAUCGAGGGGCUGACCGGGAUCUGGCUGGAGCGGCCCCCACGGAAGAUCGCCUCGAUCGGGGUCCACAUCUCCAAGUGGGUCACAACGCACGGGUACGCGCUCAAUGUCGACCUCGACCCGGCGCCGUUCACGGAAUGGAUCACCGCGUGCGGGCUCGAAGACACGGCGUUCACGACGAUCGCGCGUGAGCUCGGCCGGCGGGCCUCGGUGGACGAGAUGCGUCCGCACGCCGCACGCGCCCUCGAGGAGGUCUUCGAUCUCGAGCUCGAGCCGCAGGCCGUGCCCGAGAAGCUCGCUGCGGCGGGCUAGGCCCUCCUAGAGCUCGGGUAGCCAGCCGCCGUAGGCAACCCGGUUCGACUUCGGGACGUCCGCAUACGCCUCUGACGGCUUCGUCGUCUCCUCCUUUACAGAGACGCCGUGCUUCCUGGCUGUCUCGGACGGAAGGUAGAGGAGCCCUUUCCGGGCGAGCCCGCGCGCUCCAACCGCCAGGACGACGCUGGGACCUUCCCCCGCGCCCACGAUCAUGUGCGGCGUCCCGGGUGGGCAGUGCACGAAGUCCCACGCCUCGAGCGGCCGCUCGUCGUCCUCGACGAUCAGCACGCAGGCCCCGGUCAGGACGAGGAAGUCCCCCUGGCCGUUCUCGCGGUGGUGGUAGCCGAGACUCUGGCCCGGCUCGAGGACGCUGAUGUUGAUCCCGAGCUGGCGAAAGGGGCGCUUGCCCUCGAAGUCGCAGUACAUGCCGAAGGGCCCCGAAUCACGCCAGCGGGCCUCGCGGGCGUUGACCACGAACCAGCCGUCGACGUCCGCGACGAGGCCGUAGCUCGUCUCCCGAAGGGGUGCCUCGGGCACCCGGCCAGCUUAGUCCCGCUCGACGACCGCGAUGAGCGCGUCGACCAACGACCGGAUCGAACUGCGUACCGGCGCCGCGACGGAGCUCCGCGACUGCCUCCUCGCGCGGCAGCGCGGCCCGGUAGGAGCGGUCACUCGUCAUCGCGUUGUACGCAUCGCAGCAGUAGACGAUCCGCGCGACGAGAGGGAUGUCCUCUCCGGCCAGCCCGUCGGGAUAGCCGGUGCCGUCGUAGCGCUCGUGGCACGAGCGGAUGAUCUUCCCGAUCUGGCCGAGCAGCCCGCCCACGCGGAUGCAGCAGCCUUUCGCCUUCGAUCGUGUGCUGCUUGACGACCUCCCACUCGUCGUCGGUCAGCGGGCCAUCCUUGUUGAUGAUCUCGUUUGGAACC
This 1487-nucleotide unclassified non-coding RNA is filed under the name uncultured fungus. RNAcentral's name for it is "sequence contains 18S rRNA gene, ITS1, 5.8S rRNA gene, ITS2, 28S rRNA gene". The record is from RNAcentral. Lineage: Eukaryota; Fungi.